This 387-nucleotide ribosomal RNA is filed under the name uncultured bacterium. Its description in RNAcentral is "bacterial SSU rRNA". It matches the Rfam family "Bacterial small subunit ribosomal RNA", at positions 28 to 416 of the family's 1533-position model. The record is from RNAcentral.
GACGAACGCUGGCGGCGUGCUUAACACAUGCAAGUCGAGCGGUAAGGCUCCUUCGGGAGUACGCGAGCGGCGAACGGGUGAGUAACACGUGAGCAAUCUGCCCUUCACUUUGGGAUAACUCCGGGAAACCGGUGCUAAUACCGAAUGCGACCACUUCAGGCAUCUGACGGUGGUGGAAAGUUCCGGCGGUGAAGGAUGAGCUCGCGGCCUAUCAGCUUGUUGGUGAGGUAAUGGCUCACCAAGGCUUCGACGGGUAGCCGGCCUGAGAGGGUGACCGGCCACACUGGGACUGAGACACGGCCCAGACUCCUACGGGAGGCAGCAGUGGGGAAUAUUGGACAAUGGGCGAAAGCCUGAUCCAGCAACGCCGCGUGAGGGAUGACGGCC